GACGAACGCUGGCGGCGUGCUUAACACAUGCAAGUCGAACGGAAAGGCCCUGCUUUUGUGGGGUGCUCGAGUGGCGAACGGGUGAGUAACACGUGAGUAACCUGCCCUUGACUUUGGGAUAACUUCAGGAAACUGGGGCUAAUACCGGAUAGGAGCUCCUGCUGCAUGGUGGGGGUUGGAAAGUUUCGGCGGUUGGGGAUGGACUCGCGGCUUAUCAGCUUGUUGGUGGGGUAGUGGCUUACCAAGGCUUUGACGGGUAGCCGGCCUGAGAGGGUGACCGGCCACAUUGGGACUGAGAUACGACCCAGACUCCUACGGGAGGCAGCAGUGGGGAAUAUUGCACAAUGGGCGGAAGCCUGAUGCAGCAACGCCGCGUGCGGGAUGACGGCCUUCGGGUUGUAAACCGCUUUCGCCUGUGACAAAGCGUGAGUGACGGUAAUGGGUAAAGAAGCACCGGCUAACUACGUG
This 468-nucleotide ribosomal RNA is filed under the name uncultured bacterium. RNAcentral's name for it is "partial 16S ribosomal RNA". It matches the Rfam family "Bacterial small subunit ribosomal RNA", at positions 28 to 507 of the family's 1533-position model. The record is from RNAcentral.